GGGGAAUCUUGCACAAUGGAGGAAACUCUGAUGCAGCGACGCCGCGUGAGCGAAGAAGCCUUUCGGGGUGUAAAGCUCUUACGCCAGGGACGAUAAUGACGGUACCUGGAGAAGCAGCUGCGGCCAACUACGUGCCAGCAGCCGCGGUAAUACGUAGGCAGCAAGCGUUGUUCGGAAUUACUGGGCGUAAAGGGUGCGUAGGCGGCGCUCUAAGUUUGGUGUGAAAUCUCCCGGCUUAACUGGGAGGGUGCACUGAAAACUGGGGCGCUCGAGUAUGGGAGAGGAAAGCGGAAUUCCUGGUGUAGCGGUGAAAUGCGUAGAGAUCAGGAGGAACACCUGCGGUGCAGACGGCUUUCUGGACCAUCACUGACGCUGAGGCACGAAAGCGUGGGUAGCAAACA
RNAcentral lists this ribosomal RNA (401 nucleotides) under uncultured bacterium. RNAcentral's name for it is "bacterial SSU rRNA". It matches the Rfam family "Bacterial small subunit ribosomal RNA", at positions 356 to 774 of the family's 1533-position model. The record is from RNAcentral.